Molecule: ribosomal RNA, 734 nt
Filed under: Paenibacillus sp.
Lineage: Bacteria; Bacillati; Bacillota; Bacilli; Caryophanales; Paenibacillaceae
Description: bacterial SSU rRNA
Rfam family: Bacterial small subunit ribosomal RNA
Source: RNAcentral
GGAAUGCUUGCUCUCCUGAAGGUGAGCGGCGGACGGGUGAGUAACGCGUAGGCAACCUGCCCUCAAGACUGGGAUACCUACCGGAAAAGGGAGUUAAUACCGGAUAAUUUAUUUCGCAGCAUUGGGGAAUAAUGAAAGACGGAGCUAUCUGUCACUUGGGGAUGGGCCUGCGGCGCAUUAGCUAGUUGGUGGGGUAACGGCCCACCAAGGCGACGAUGCGUAGCCGACCUGAGAGGGUGAACGGCCACACUGGGACUGAGACACGGCCCAGACUCCUACGGGAGGCAGCAGUAGGGAAUCUUCCGCAAUGGGCGAAAGCCUGACGGAGCAACGCCGCGUGAGUGAUGAAGGUUUUCGGAUCGUAAAGCUCUGUUGCCAAGGAAGAACGUCUUCUAGAGUAACUGCUAGGAGAGUGACGGUACUUGACAAGAAAGCCCCGGCUAACUACGUGCCAGCAUCCGCGGGAAUACGUAGGGGGCAAGCGUUGUCCGGAAUUAUUGGGCGUAAAGCGCGCGCAGGCGGUUCUUUAAGUCUCGUGUUUAAACCCCAGGCUCAACUUCGGGUCGCUCUGGAAACUGGGGGACUUGAGUGCAGAAAAGGAGAGUGGAAUUCCACGUGUAGCGGUGAAAUGCGUAAAUAUGUGGAGGAACACCAGUGGCGAACGGGACUCUCUGGGCUGUAACUGACGCUGAGGCGCGAAAGCGUGGGGAACAAAAAGCAUUACAUACCCUGGU